AUUCCAGCUCCAGUAGCGUAUAUUAAAGUUGUUGCAGUUAAAAAGCUCGUAGUUGGAUUUCUGGCGUGGUGCGCCCGGCCCGAUACCGCUAAGGUGUCGAGUGCCGGCGCGCGCCUGCCAUCCUUCCGGAGAGCGUGCCUACCCUUCACUGGGCCGGGUACGCGAUCUGGAUCGUUUACUUUGAAAAAAUUAGAGUGCUUAAAGCAGGCUUACGCUUCUGAAUACAUUAGCAUGGAAUAAUAAGAUAGGACUUUGGUUCUAUUUUGUUGGUUUCUAGAACUAAAGUAAUGAUUGAUAGGGACAGUUGGGGGUGCUAGUAUUUAACGGCCAGAGGUGAAAUUCUUGGAUUCGUUAAAGACUAACUAAUGCGAAAGCAUUCACCAAGGAUGUCUUCAUUG
This 398-nucleotide ribosomal RNA is filed under the name Massisteria sp. RNAcentral's name for it is "partial small subunit ribosomal RNA". It matches the Rfam family "Eukaryotic small subunit ribosomal RNA", at positions 582 to 975 of the family's 1831-position model. The record is from RNAcentral. Lineage: Eukaryota; Cercozoa; Massisteriidae.